RNAcentral lists this long non-coding RNA (357 nucleotides) under Malus domestica (apple). RNAcentral describes it as "long non-coding RNA (MDOM_LNC016297)". The record is from RNAcentral. Lineage: Eukaryota; Viridiplantae; Streptophyta; Magnoliopsida; Rosales; Rosaceae.
GUGGUUAUAAGGAGCAUGCUGAUAAUUCUAAUUAUUUCAAGCCUGACAGUGCACCAUCGUUUAAGAGGAGAAAAUUUUCAGAUUCUACUUGGGGUGAUGGUGGGAGACAUUAUCUGCCACCCAACACAUAUGAGUUUGUCUCGUCUACCUGCAAUAAUUAUCUUCCUUAUGCAAGAUCACCCAACACAUAUGAGUUUGUCUCGUCUACCUGCAAUAAUUAUCUUCCUUAUGCAAGAUCCAAUGGUGAUGCCUCUGCAUCUACUACUGGUAAACGUGACCGCUCAAAAUUAGAUGAGGAUGAACUGCCCUUUAUGUCAAGGGAUGAGAUAGAGAGAUGCUCCCCGUCUAGAAAAGAUG